CCUACGGGUGGCUGCAGUGGGGAAUAUUGCACAAUGGGCGCAAGCCUGAUGCAGCCAUGCCGCGUGUGUGAAGAAGGCCUUCGGGUUGUAAAGCACUUUCAGCGGGGAGGAAGGCGGUGAGGUUAAUAACCUCAUCGAUUGACGUUACCCGCAGAAGAAGCACCGGCUAACUCCGUGCCAGCAGCCGCGGUAAUACGGAGGGUGCAGCGUUAAUCGGAAUUACUGGGCGUAAAGCGCACGCAGGCGGUCUGUCAAGUCGGAUGUGAAAUCCCCGGGCUCAACCUGGGAACUGCAUUCGAAACUGGCAGGCUAGAGUCUUGUAGAGGGGGGUAGAAUUCCAGGUGUAGCGGUGAAAUGCGUAGAGAUCUGGAGGAGUACCGGUGGCGAAGGCGGCCCCCUGGACAAAGACUGACGCUCAGGUGCGAAAGCGUGGGGAGCAAACAGGAUUAGAUACCCGGGUAGUC
Molecule: ribosomal RNA, 464 nt
Filed under: uncultured Klebsiella sp.
Lineage: Bacteria; Pseudomonadati; Pseudomonadota; Gammaproteobacteria; Enterobacterales; Enterobacteriaceae
Description: bacterial SSU rRNA
Rfam family: Bacterial small subunit ribosomal RNA
Source: RNAcentral